This 468-nucleotide ribosomal RNA is filed under the name uncultured bacterium. Its description in RNAcentral is "partial 16S ribosomal RNA". It matches the Rfam family "Bacterial small subunit ribosomal RNA", at positions 28 to 507 of the family's 1533-position model. The record is from RNAcentral.
GACGAACGCUGGCGGCGUGCUUAACACAUGCAAGUCGAACGGAAAGGCCCUGCUUUUGUGGGGUGCUCGAGUGGCGAACGGGUGAGUAACACGUGAGUAACCUGCCCUUGACUUUGGGAUAACUUCAGGAAACUGGGGCUAAUACCGGAUAGGAGCUCCUGCUGCAUUGUGGGGGUUGGAAAGUUUCGGCGGUUGGGGAUGGACUCGCGGCUUAUCAGCUUGGUGGUGGGGUAGUGGCUUACCAAGGCUUUGACGGGUAGCCGGCCUGAGAGGGUGACCGGCCACAUUGGGAUUGAGAUAGGGCCCAGCCUCCAACGGGAGGCAGCGGGGGGGAAUAUGGCACAAUGGGCGGAAGCCGGUGGCGGCAACGCGGGGUGCGGGAUGACGGCCUUGGGGUUGAAAACCGCUUUAGCCUGGGACGAAGCGUUAGUGACGGUAAUAGGUAAAGAAGCACCGGCUAACUACGUG